RNAcentral lists this ribosomal RNA (445 nucleotides) under uncultured bacterium. Its description in RNAcentral is "bacterial SSU rRNA". It matches the Rfam family "Bacterial small subunit ribosomal RNA", at positions 29 to 507 of the family's 1533-position model. The record is from RNAcentral.
AACGAACGCUGGCGGCAGGCCUAACACAUGCAAGUCGAACGAGGUUUUCUUUUUCGGAAGAGAGCCUAGUGGCGGACGGGUGCGUAACACGUGGGAAUCUACCUUAUAGUGGGGGAUAACUUCUGGAAACGGGAGCUAAUACCGCAUACGCCCUUAGGGGGAAAGAUUUAUCGCUAUAAGAUGAGCCCGCGUUGGAUUAGAUAGUUGGUGAGGUAACGGCUCACCAAGUCAACGAUCUAUAGCUGGUCUGAGAGGAUGACCAGCCACACUGGGACUGAGACACGGCCCAGACUCCUACGGGAGGCAGCAGUGGGGAAUCUUAGACAAUGGGGGCAACCCUGAUCUAGCCAUGCCGCGUGAGUGAAGAAGGCCUUAGGGUUGUAAAGCUCUUUCACCUGUGAGGAUGAUGACAGUAACAGGAUAAGAAGGACCGGCUAACUCCGUG